GGGCUCACCUUGGCAGUACAUGCUCUAAACUCAGAACGAUGUGGAGAAGAUCAGCGUGGUCCCUGUGCGAGGGAGACACGCACAUCCGUGAAGCAUUCCAUGCUUUU
Small nuclear RNA from Phyllostomus discolor (pale spear-nosed bat), 107 nucleotides. The record is from RefSeq and is a predicted model, not a curated record. NCBI's taxonomy places the organism in Eukaryota, Metazoa, Chordata, Mammalia, Chiroptera, Phyllostomidae.